Brienomyrus brachyistius is the source of this 687-nucleotide long non-coding RNA. RefSeq lists it as uncharacterized. The transcript is spliced from 2 exons. Lineage: Eukaryota; Metazoa; Chordata; Actinopteri; Osteoglossiformes; Mormyridae. The record is from RefSeq and is a predicted model, not a curated record.
UGGAAGGAUGCAGGUAAAGGCAGGUGUCGGGGAAAACGAAGGAGAUUUUAUUCUAAUAAAAACACAAUGCAAAAGGCAAAAGGAAACAGACCAUGAGGGGUCAAAACCAGGCUGGGAGAGCAGGGGGGAAACACAGGAUCAGCAGGAUUGAUCCUAUACAGCAGGAUCACACACGUAACAAUACAAUGACUGGACUGGGGAGCACAGGACGAAGAGGCACUAUAUGCACCACAGAUGAGGAGCAGACGAGAGGGACCUGGGAUCAUCCACACAAGGGCUGAAACGGGAGGCAGGAUUAAACGAGAAAUAGAUGUAGCUCAUCAGCACCACACCACAGGGAAGACGAGGGAAACGGGCAUGUGGGGAGUGAUAGGCAUGUAGUCCAGGUCACCUGUGUUACCAUAGACUUUAACGUGUCCUGCAGUCUUGUUCCCCCCCCCCACACCCUCUGCUUUUACUCUUCCUCUGUUUCUAUCUUCACUCCAGAUCCCACACAUCUCCAGCCCGCUGUUCCUGGGAAAAGCCACCUGCCAAUCAUCCUUGGAGCAGUAGCCAUUCUCAAGAUCUCCUACAUCACAGAUCACCUAAUAAAUACAGGACCUGUCGACGACUGGAGAAAAGGAGAAACGCUGAAGCACACUGGGCAUUUUGGAAGCAUUUCGUCAUAAUAAAUUACCUUUGCCUUUA